AGAGUUUGAUCCUGGCUCAGGAUGAACGCUGGCGGCGCGCCUAACACAUGCAAGUCGAACGAGAGAGAGGGAGCUUGCUUCCUCAAUCGAGUGGCGAACGGGUGAGUAACGCGUGAGGAACCUGCCUCAAAGAGGGGGACAACAGUUGGAAACGACUGCUAAUACCGCAUAAGCCCACAGGUCGGCAUCGACCAGAGGGAAAAGGAGCAAUCCGCUUUGAGAUGGCCUCGCGUCCGAUUAGCUAGUUGGUGAGGUAAUGGCCCACCAAGGCGACGAUCGGUAGCCGGACUGAGAGGUUGAACGGCCACAUUGGGACUGAGACACGGCCCAGACUCCUACGGGAGGCAGCAGUGGGGAAUAUUGCACAAUGGGGGAAACCCUGAUGCAGCGACGCCGCGUGGAGGAAGAAGGUCUUCGGAUUGUAAACUCCUGUUGUUGAGGAAGAUAAUGACGGUACUCAACAAGGAAGUGACGGCUAACUACGUGCCAGCAGCCGCGGUAAAACGUAGGUCACAAGCGUUGUCCGGAAUUACUGGGUGUAAAGGGAGCGCAGGCGGGAAGACAAGUUGGAAGUGAAAUCUAUGGGCUCAACCCAUAAACUGCUUUCAAAACUGUUUUUCUUGAGUAGUGCAGAGGUAGGCGGAAUUCCCGGUGUAGCGGUGGAAUGCGUAGAUAUCGGGAGGAACACCAGUGGCGAAGGCGGCCUACUGGGCACCAACUGACGCUGAGGCUCGAAAGUGUGGGUAGCAAACAGGAUUAGAUACCCUGGUAGUCCACACCGUAAACGAUGAAUACUUAGUGUCGGGGGA
This 809-nucleotide ribosomal RNA is filed under the name uncultured bacterium. Its description in RNAcentral is "bacterial SSU rRNA". It matches the Rfam family "Bacterial small subunit ribosomal RNA", at positions 8 to 830 of the family's 1533-position model. The record is from RNAcentral.